RNAcentral lists this ribosomal RNA (495 nucleotides) under uncultured bacterium. Its description in RNAcentral is "bacterial SSU rRNA". It matches the Rfam family "Bacterial small subunit ribosomal RNA", at positions 215 to 704 of the family's 1533-position model. The record is from RNAcentral.
UCGCCAGAGGACGGGUCCGCGGUCCCCAUCAGCUAGUUGGUGAGGUAAUGGCUCACCAAGGCGAAGACGGGUAGCUGGUCUGAGAGGAUGAUCAGCCACACUGGAACUGAGACACGGUCCAGACUCCUACGGGAGGCAGCAGUGGGGAAUAUUGCGCAAUGGGCGAAAGCCUGACGCAGCCACGCCGCGUGAGCGAUGAAGGUCUUCGGAUCGUAAAGCUCUGUGGGGGGAGAAGAAGAAAGUCGGUGAAGAGCCGGCCCUGACGGUAUCCCCUUAGCAAGCACCGGCUAACUCCGUGCCAGCAGCCGCGGUAAUACGGAGGGUGCAAACGUUGCUCGGAAUCAUUGGGCGUAAAGCGCGCGUAGGCGGCUGAACAAGUUGGAUGUGAAAGCCCUGGGCUCAACCUAGGAUGUGCAUUCAAAACUGUUCGGCUUGAGUCUCGGAGGGGGUCAGAGAAUUCUCGGUGUAGAGGUGAAAUUCGUAGAUAUCGGGAGG